Molecule: long non-coding RNA, 1782 nt
Filed under: Eucalyptus grandis
Lineage: Eukaryota; Viridiplantae; Streptophyta; Magnoliopsida; Myrtales; Myrtaceae
Description: long non-coding RNA (EGRA_LNC001846)
Source: RNAcentral
UGCGACUGACAUUCUGGUUAAAUGCUUACGUUUUCCUGUGUUUUCUUGUGUCGUCAUGAUUCCUGAACUGGUUUGCUUCAUUUGGUGUUCUUUUUUCUUGAAUGAUAUUGUUGGUGGUUCCAUGUUGUUUCACUCAGUGCAUCUUGUGGGUUGUUGGAUAUCCAGGAAGUCGAGAUUGGGCUUGUUGCGCGCCUCUCCGGCACUGACUGAUUACUUAGAAUGGGUUGUGAACCUUUAGUUUAAUCUUAUGGAAUUUGAUGUCUUUAGUGGAGAAAAGAGCAUUCUAUUGUCUGUGAUUAUCUUUAUGGAAGAGAAUCAGUUCCUCCCAUAUUAAACAAGUAGAAAAGGAAAACUAAAUGAGAUGACUAAAUUGAAAUAUAUCGAAGUUCCAAACAAGUGCUAAAUCUAGAAAAUAAAAAAGACCAGUUCAGUAAUAUUUACUGUGGUUCACCUCUAUGAACUGGGUUUCCCAGGAGAUGAUUAGCUUAGGAUGUCUUGGUGUCCCUUGUAAAAGUUAGUCUAAUGUAUGUUUCGUUCAAGUGAGCUCUGUUUGUUUAUCUUGUUAGUGACUUUCUCAGUUCUACUCUUUAUUGUUCUUUGAAGUGCUAGAUGCAUCUCUUCACUUUAACAAUGCUGCUGUCAUGUUGGCUUUGUAGUAGGUUGCUACUUUAAGAGAACAGCUGGAGCAGCUGGCUGAGGAGAGAACCCCAGAUGGGUUACCAAGGUCCUUCGCAUGUCCUUUGGAACUCUCUCUCAUUUACUGUUCUUGUUGAAUGAGAUGAGCAUUUCAUCUUGGAUUUUUCAUUUUUGAACAUCGGACUGCUUGUUCGACAUUUUUCAUGAGUUUUCUGGUUAUGGACACUAAGGCAUGGUCUUGUUGGCUGGAUCACAGACUGCUUGUUGUUGCCUCUUAUAUUCACUUAGUAGGACUAGCAGGAAGAAGACUUUCGCCAUUGACUGUUUAACCCAUUAAAUAUUGCAAGCUAUUUUGAAUUUUUUGUUGAUUCCCUGGUUUUAUAGAUUAUAUGGGAAGGUUUCUAAUCUGUCCAAAUCAUGGGCGACUAGAAUGACAGUUGCAGUCACACUUAUUUAUGGUUCCAGAGUUAUUGGUUCUCAGUUUAGCAACUUUCAUCUGAAGCUGCUAGCUAAAACUGUAGUUCAUAUAAGACAUGGUUCAAAUAAAUGGAUUCAAUCUGUCUCCUGAUGUUUGCUGUUGAAAACUUAAACUCUUCCUUAUUCACAGGACAUUUGUUCUCUGCUCUCGAUCGCUCCUAAUCCAGGCUUGCAAACUCUCUAGCAUUACUGUGGCUGGAGGUAAGAGUUAAUAUUUGACUCAAUGGAGCAAUAUCUUCAAUCUGCUUUUACAUAAAGAACCGUCUGCUUUUGUUUAAACUAGUAGUUAUGGAUCUUCCUCGAAGACACUUUAAUAUGUAUGGUUUCUUAUCUAGCUUCCUAGCUGAUAGUAGCCCUUUGAGGUUUGUUUUGGGAUAUGGAUCCUCUGACUAAGAAGGAUUAGUCCCUACUGAUAAAUGGCAGAAGACAUUUAGAAUUGUGGCUGUGAUGUGCAGCAUAGACUAUCGAUGAAUUCCAAUCAUUUUGUGCUUUAUACCACACGGUAAACAGUCUUUGCACUUUAUCACCUGCAGCAUCUAAGGCAUCCAUCAAAAUUGAUGUUUGAUCUUCAAGUUAAUGAAUUUUGUGCUCUUUGCACCUUUUUACUUCUACAAUACCACCAAGUUUGCACAGCUCUAUUUCAUUGAUAUAUCUUAUCCAUUAUUUUAU